GUGACUGAGUGGCGGACGGGUGAGUAACGCGUGGGUAACCUGCCUCAUACAGGGGGAUAACAGUUAGAAAUGACUGCUAAUACCGCAUAAGACCACAGGGUCGCAUGACCUGGUGGGAAAAACUCCGGUGGUAUGAGAUGGACCCGCGUCUGAUUAGGUAGUUGGUGGGGUAACGGCCUACCAAGCCGACGAUCAGUAGCCGACCUGAGAGGGUGACCGGCCACAUUGGGACUGAGACACGGCCCAAACUCCUACGGGAGGCAGCAGUGGGGAAUAUUGCACAAUGGGGGAAACCCUGAUGCAGCGACGCCGCGUGAGCGAAGAAGUAUUUCGGUAUGUAAAGCUCUAUCAGCAGGGAAGAAAAUGACGGUACCUGACUAAGAAGCACCGGCUAAAUACGUGCCAGCAGCCGCGGUAAUACGUAUGGUGCAAGCGUUAUCCGGAUUUACUGGGUGUAAAGGGAGCGUAGACGGCUGUGUAAGUCUGAAGUGAAAGCCCGGGGCUCAACCCCGGGACUGCUUUGGAAACUAUGCAGCUAGAGUGUCGGAGAGGUAAGUGGAAUUCCCAGUGUAGCGGUGAAAUGCGUAGAUAUUGGGAGGAACACCAGUGGCGAAGGCGGCUUACUGGACGAUGAC
Molecule: ribosomal RNA, 635 nt
Filed under: uncultured Lachnospiraceae bacterium
Lineage: Bacteria; Bacillati; Bacillota; Clostridia; Lachnospirales; Lachnospiraceae
Description: bacterial SSU rRNA
Rfam family: Bacterial small subunit ribosomal RNA
Source: RNAcentral